GUGGAUUAGAUACCCUAGUAGUCCACGCCCUAAACGAUGUCAACUGGUUGUUGGUGGGGUUAAACCCAUUAGUAACGAAGCUAACGCGUGAAGUUGACCGCCUGGGGAGUACGGCCGCAAGGUUAAAACUCAAAGGAAUUGACGGGGACCCGCACAAGCGGUGGAUGAUGUGGAUCAAUUCGAUGCAACGCGAAGAACCUUACCUACCCUUGACAUGCCAGGGAGCCGGAUGAGAGUUCGGUGUGCCCGAAAGGGAACCUGGACACAGGUGCUGCACGGCCGUCGUCAGCU
Molecule: ribosomal RNA, 291 nt
Filed under: uncultured bacterium
Lineage: Bacteria
Description: partial 16S ribosomal RNA
Rfam family: Bacterial small subunit ribosomal RNA
Source: RNAcentral